UGCAGUCGAACGGCAGCACAGUAAGAGCUUGCUCUUAUGGGUGGCGAGUGGCGGACGGGUGAGGAAUACAUCGGAAUCUACCUUUUCGUGGGGGAUAACGUAGGGAAACUUACGCUAAUACCGCAUACGACCUUCGGGUGAAAGCAGGGGACCUUCGGGCCUUGCGCGGAUAGAUGAGCCGAUGUCGGAUUAGCUAGUUGGCGGGGUAAAGGCCCACCAAGGCGACGAUCCGUAGCUGGUCUGAGAGGAUGAUCAGCCACACUGGAACUGAGACACGGUCCAGACUCCUACGGGAGGCAGCAGUGGGGAAUAUUGGACAAUGGGCGCAAGCCUGAUCCAGCCAUACCGCGUGGGUGAAGAAGGCCUUCGGGUUGUAAAGCCCUUUUGUUGGGAAAGAAAAGCAGCUGGCUAAUACCCGGUUGUUCUGACGGUACCCAAAGAAUAAGCACCGGCUAACUUCGUGCCAGCAGCCGCGGUAAUACGAAGGGUGCAAGCGUUACUCGGAAUUACUGGGCGUAAAGCGUGCGUAGGUGGUUGUUUAAGUCUGUUGUGAAAGCCCUGGGCUCAACCUGGGAAUUGCAGUGGAUACUGGGCGACUAGAGUGUGGUAGAGGGUAGUGGAAUUCCCGGUGUAGCAGUGAAAUGCGUAGAGAUCGGGAGGAACAUCC
This 667-nucleotide ribosomal RNA is filed under the name bacterium 79-L049659-122-016-G10. RNAcentral describes it as "bacterial SSU rRNA". It matches the Rfam family "Bacterial small subunit ribosomal RNA", at positions 56 to 711 of the family's 1533-position model. The record is from RNAcentral.